UACGGAGGGUGCAAGCGUUAUCCGGAUUCACUGGGUUUAAAGGGUGCGUAGGAGGGCAGGUAAGUCAGUGGUGAAAUCUCCAAGCUUAACUUGGAAACUGCCGUUGAUACUAUCUGUCUUGAAUAUUGUGGAGGUGAGCGGAAUAUGUCAUGUAGCGGUGAAAUGCUUAGAUAUGACAUAGAACACCAAUUGCGAAGGCAGCUCACUACUCAAUCAUUGACGCUGAGGCACGAAAGCGUGGGGAGCAAACAGG
This 253-nucleotide ribosomal RNA is filed under the name uncultured bacterium. RNAcentral describes it as "partial 16S ribosomal RNA". It matches the Rfam family "Bacterial small subunit ribosomal RNA", at positions 524 to 776 of the family's 1533-position model. The record is from RNAcentral.